AAUUUUUCUAUCACUUCAAGAAAUUUUCAGUUUUUCCAGCUUUUAUUCUACAAAGUCUCAAUGUGCUCUGCGAUGAACCAAAUUCAGCGUUUGUGAACAUAAAGAUCAGAAUUAAUAGACUGCAUGAGCAACACUAGGCACGGCUGCAAUCUGCUUAGGACCAGAAAACAAAGAGGUCCUGAAGAAAAUGGAAGUCUUUGCAGAGCUGAUUUUAGGGUAAACUGUACAUUUUCCCAGAUAAAUGCAAGAAAAAACAGGAAGGAAAAUGAUUUUCAGCUAAACUGAAUGCUUUUCUAGGAAGGGAGAGAUGGAAAAGUAAAGGCUUUGCACCUCCAGUACAGAAGAACAGUAUGCACUCCAUUGACAGCGUCCCCUUUUUAUUGACUUGUUUUCUUCAUUAAACUGAAAGCAGACAUGAAUUUAGCUCCAGAUAAUUCCUCUCAUUUCCUGUCGUGAUUUCCACAAUUGUCUCUUUACCAGUAAAAUAUAGCUGAUAAUAGUUUUUGGUAACAUUUAUAAAAUUCUUAGUAUAGAACGGAUGAAAAGUACUACACAUUUUCCAUUCUUCUCUAGUAAAGAGCAAAUAUAAAAAGCUAACUAAAACAAGUGUUUAAAAUAACAGCUUACAAAAACGCAUAUUAUUUUACACUCAUACUAAGCACUUGUAUAUAUUUAUGAAGAGCCAUGCUAGUUGUGGAGUUCGGUUUACUCUAAUGAUUGGUAACAUUGCAUCACUGCUCAAUGUGCAGUGAUGAAACAGCAA
Molecule: long non-coding RNA, 763 nt
Filed under: Anser brachyrhynchus (Pink-footed goose)
Lineage: Eukaryota; Metazoa; Chordata; Aves; Anseriformes; Anatidae
Description: lncRNA (ENSABRG00000003247.1)
Source: RNAcentral